Molecule: long non-coding RNA, 1662 nt
Organism: Trifolium pratense (red clover)
Lineage: Eukaryota; Viridiplantae; Streptophyta; Magnoliopsida; Fabales; Fabaceae
Exons: 3
Source: RefSeq, a predicted model, not a curated record
AUUGUUCUUCUACUCACCUACAUCGUUCCUUCUACUCUUCUCCAUUGUUCCAUUCCAUCGCUCCUCUUCUCCAUUGUUCCUCUACUCUCACAGCAAAAUCUCAUCAAACCCUAAAGUGUUACACUCUUGUUUAACCUCCAUCUCCGUUGAACCCUAAAUCUCGUGAUUUCUCUCUCAAACCAGCACCUCACUAUCGAACCCUAAUUUCUUGCUCUCAACACCUUUGUUGUUCUCACCUCCUUCUUAUACUUCUUUUAUGUGUGUUUCAGGUUAUUGCAAGAAAGGUCGAGAAUCAAUAUACCUCGAAGGGAAAAUCUCAAUGUAACAACCGUUAUAUCUCCACAUUUUCUAUAAUUUUCGCCCCUGGACCUGUACAACGAUAUACUAGCUGGUGCAUUCGAAAGGGUUAUUAUGGUGAGACUUUGAAAUUGAAAUAUAGGCCAUUGUAAUAAGCUUACAUUGUUCCUCAAAACCUAUUGGACCAUAUGUAUGGAGGACAUAUAAGAAAGCUUUUGACGAAGUUUUGCAAAUCUAUUCUGCUAUAAGAGCUUCUGGUGUUGAACAUGUAAGUGUUUAAUUUUCAAAAGAGCUAAUUCACCCAUGAUGUCUACUUACAUUACAAUAGACAAUUAGUUUGUCUUCCUCAUCGACGGCAUUAAGUAAGCUGACAUACUCAAAAUCUGUGUAAUAUUAAGUUUGCGAUUUGUCCGUUGUAAUAUUCAUAUGGGUUCAUAUAGAAUGGCUAUUAUCUUGACUAAGUAAUAAAACAGUUCAUAUGAGUUUUGUAGUCAUUCAAGUGAGAGGGUUGAAUAUUAUUAGCCUUUGGAUUAAAAUAAAAGGUGGAGAUUAAAAUACUCAUUAAAAGAAACAUGUGAUAUCUGAACUUUGAAUACACACGCUUCCGGCAGUUAUACAAAAUAUUGCUGGGAUGAGAAUUGUGUUAGGGAAAAAUUAAAUAGAUAUAGUGUGCAAAGACAGAGAUAAAGUAUGUUCCUUUAGAUCUUAUGUAUCAGCAAGAGUUCAAGUAACAAGGACAGAGUUCAAGUAACACUAGAUUUUAUUUAGUUUUUACUACCAAGAAUUGAUUAGAAAUAUAGUCCCAGGAAUGACUACAUGUUCUUAUAUUUUAGUAUAUUUGUGUUAUUAUGUUACAUGAUGGACUGUCGUCUAGCCUUAGGAUCAAAUUUAUCAUAUGUUAUCACAUGUUUGAACUUUGAACAAAUGAAAUAUAUUUUUGAGCAAAACAAGGUUCUCAUGGUACAAUUAAAUAUAAGAAAAAUGAAGAAAGUGAAUUAAGUGCUUAUUUAUGUCCUAUUAAUGCUUUUUUUUUCUUCUUCUGGUUUUUAACAUGUUUCAAGAUUUGUCUCUGCUCCCCUGUUUCUAGAUAUUUAGCUGACGAUUUUAGCCCUUGAUGUUGGAUCGCUUGUACAUCCCCUGGCAGGGUAUUUUUCUGGUGGUGUUUGCGGCUGCUUUUGUCCUCUUGCUAUGUGCGGCGGCUUUGCGUUUUUGCUGUUAGUUAUGUUGAGUUGUAAUGUCGUGUAUAUAUAGAUAGGAUCGAUCAUUAUAUAUUGUUUAUGAGAUGUGUAUAACUAGUUUUUGGAUCAAUACAAAUGAUUGAUUGAUCAUGUUAUAUGCAAUGAAAUUAUUAUUCGGUGUUGAAAA